AAGUUCGUACGAUCGUUAAUACUAAAAGUGGAAGGACGCAAAAUAUAUUAGCAUGACCCCUGCGCAAGGAUGACAUCAAAAAUCGCGAAACUUUCUACAUUUUU
Non-coding RNA from Glossina palpalis gambiensis, 104 nucleotides. The record is from Rfam. Lineage: Eukaryota; Metazoa; Arthropoda; Insecta; Diptera; Glossinidae.